RNAcentral lists this small RNA (1107 nucleotides) under Oryza sativa Japonica Group (Japanese rice). RNAcentral describes it as "sRNA Os02g0514750". Lineage: Eukaryota; Viridiplantae; Streptophyta; Magnoliopsida; Poales; Poaceae. The record is from RNAcentral.
UGAUGCAUGGAACUAUAUGUCAAGGAGCAACCUUCGUGGAUCUUCAACCACAUCCUUGAUACGGCGCAAGAAGAGAACAGCUUCCCUACCAUCGAUCAGCCUAUGGUCAUACAUUAGUGCAAGGUACAUCAUUGGCCUUGCAAGGACACUGCCAUUCACAACCACAAGACGUUGAACAAUGGAAUGCAUUCCGAGGAUUGAUGACUGUGGAGAAUUAAUGAUAGGUGUACUGAUAAGGCUUCCAUAAACACCACCAUUUGAGAUGGUAAAGGUCCCUCCUGCCAUAUUGUUGAUGGACUGUGCCCCCUCAGUUGCCUUCUUUGCAAGGUUGUUUAUACCCUUCUCUAUGUCAGCAAAAUUCAUUGCAUCUAUAUCGUGGAUAACAAGCACCACAAGACCCUAAAACAAAUGACAUCAACACUGAUGUCAAUGUACUCCCUGUAGAUGAUGUCAUCACCAUCAAUGACAGCAUUAACAAUUGGUUGGUUUUGAAGCGCAGAAACAGCAGCCUGCAAAAGCAAACAUUAAGCCCAAUUUGACACCAUGCUUCUCAACAAACUGAUCUUUAUAAUCGGAAAGUAGCUUCAUUAGGUUAGUCAUGUCAACUUCAUUGAAUGUAAUUAGCAUUGCAAAAGUGUUCUGAGAAUCCUUCAAACGAUUUGCGAUACGCUUCCUAAGCCUUGGCAUUGGCACCUGCAUUUUGAUGGAGGGAGUUGUGGUUCUGAAGAGGAAGUUAGUUUUGAUUCGUGUGUUGUGCUGGACUCUACUUUUGGUGGUUUAGCCUCAACCUUGUUUUCCUUUGUAGAAGGUGGUUUUGUGCUAUGCUUCUGGGAGGUAUCUUCAGAUGAUUGUGUAUGUGUCUUGCUUUGAGCAGCAGACUUAGAUAUGAUAGCAACUUUGACACCUGGAGUAACAAUGCCACCUUCACUCGCAACGAACUGUAAUGCAUUGAUGUGGUUAGAAAAUGCACAGAAUCACCUUAUCAGUUUCGAUCUGAGCUAUGGGUUCAUCAGCUUCAACUCUAUCACCAGGUUCUGUAUCAGAUAGCAUGGUUCCAUCGGUUAUGGAUUCACCCAUGAAGGGAACAACAGCAUCAACCAAGUCACC